AGUGAACGCUGGCGGUAGGCCUAACACAUGCAAGUCGAACGGCAGCACAGUAAGAGCUUGCUCUUACGGUUGGCGAGUGGCGGACGGGUGAGGAAUACAUCGGAAUCUACUUUUUCGUGGGGGAUAACGUAGGGAAACUUACGCUAAUACCGCAUACGACCUACGGGUGGAAGCAGGGGAUCUUCGGACCUUGCGCGAUUGAAUGAGCCGAUGUCGGAUUAGCUAGUUGGCGGGGUAAAGGCCCACCAAGGCGACGAUCCGUAGCUGGUCUGAGAGGAUGAUCAGCCACACUGGAACUGAGACACGGUCCAGACUCCUACGGGAGGCAGCAGUGGGGAAUAUUGGACAAUGGGCGCAAGCCUGAUCCAGCCAUACCGCGUGGGUGAAGAAGGCCUUCGGGUUGUAAAGCCCUUUUGUUGGGAAAGAAAAGAAGCAGGUUAAUACCCCGCUGUUCUGACGGUACCCAAAGAAUAAGCACCGGCUAACUUCGUG
Molecule: ribosomal RNA, 492 nt
Filed under: uncultured bacterium
Lineage: Bacteria
Description: partial 16S ribosomal RNA
Rfam family: Bacterial small subunit ribosomal RNA
Source: RNAcentral